Oxyura jamaicensis (ruddy duck) is the source of this 378-nucleotide long non-coding RNA. RefSeq lists it as uncharacterized. The record is from RefSeq and is a predicted model, not a curated record. The transcript is spliced from 3 exons. NCBI's taxonomy places the organism in Eukaryota, Metazoa, Chordata, Aves, Anseriformes, Anatidae.
UGUAAGUGGCCUUUUAUAAUUGCACUGAAAGCAAAAUGGGGCAUUAAGUGCCCCAGAGGUGCAGUAACGAGGAGCAUCACGGGAAGCGCUGCCGGCCGAGCCAAGGGGCUGCUCGCAGCCUCCCCUCUCACCUCUGCCAGGUAGCUGCUGGUAUAAAAUAGGUCUUUCUCUCCCACCGCUCCCACAGAAAAUUAGUCUCCUGAAGAAGCAAGCGGCCGCUCUGCACUCCUGCCUCAGCCUCAAGAGGUGCGGCUGAAGGCAUUUAUGCUUUGGAAGGAGCGAGGUGUCAGCCCUCCACAGGUGUUUCCUGCAGUGGAGCUGGGCUCAAGGGGCUGUGAUGCCUCAGCCUGGGGCUCUGGUGGCUGCAACGUCGACAGG